RNAcentral lists this ribosomal RNA (644 nucleotides) under uncultured Actinomycetes bacterium. RNAcentral describes it as "bacterial SSU rRNA". It matches the Rfam family "Bacterial small subunit ribosomal RNA", at positions 231 to 885 of the family's 1533-position model. Lineage: Bacteria; Bacillati; Actinomycetota; Actinomycetes. The record is from RNAcentral.
UCGCGGCCUAUCAGCUUGUUGGUGAGGUAACGGCUCACCAAGGCUUCGACGGGUAGCCGGCCUGAGAGGGCGACCGGCCACACUGGGACUGAGAUACGGCCCAGACUCCUACGGGAGGCAGCAGUGGGGAAUAUUGCACAAUGGGCGAAAGCCUGAUGCAGCAACGCCGCGUGCGGGAUGACGGCCUUCGGGUUGUAAACCGCUUUCAGCUCCGACGAAGCGCAAGUGACGGUAGGAGCAGAAGAAGGACCGGCCAACUACGUGCCAGCAGCCGCGGUGAUACGUAGGGUCCGAGCGUUGUCCGGAAUUAUUGGGCGUAAAGGGCUUGUAGGCGGUUUGUCACGUCGGAAGUGAAAACUCAGGGCUUAACCCUGAGCCUGCUUCCGAUACGGGCAAACUAGAGGAAUGCAGGGGAGAAUGGAAUUCCUGGUGGAGCGGUGGAAUGCGCAGAUAUCAGGAGGAACACCAGUGGCGAAGGCGGUUCUCUGGGCAUUUCCUGACGCUGAGAAGCGAAAGCGUGGGGAGCAAACAGGCUUAGAUACCCUGGUAGUCCACGCCGUAAACGGUGGGCACUAGGUGUGGGACUCAUUCCACGAGUUCCGUGCCGUAGCUAACGCAUUAAGUGCCCCGCCUGGGGAGUACGG